Triticum aestivum (bread wheat) is the source of this 596-nucleotide long non-coding RNA. RefSeq lists it as uncharacterized. The record is from RefSeq and is a predicted model, not a curated record. NCBI's taxonomy places the organism in Eukaryota, Viridiplantae, Streptophyta, Magnoliopsida, Poales, Poaceae. The transcript is spliced from 2 exons.
ACACGGCCUCAUACGAUAGUCGAUAAAUCCCUGGUCGGUCGAGCACUUCCCCUCCAGGAAACUACUCCUACGAACCCACGACACGAAAGCCGACCGAGCGUGCUGACCCACUACUAGGCGGCCUCGUCUCGCCGCCGCCUCGAUCCGCCGCCUCCACCUCUCACGCGCGUCGCCCCCAUCGAUCCUCGCCGCCGUUCCCUUUGAUUUUGAGUUGGUCAAACUUUACGAGGCUUGACUUCAAACAGAUCUUAUACGCGAACUAAAAAGGACCGGAGGGAGUAUGAUGCUGACUGUCCUGGUCUGGAGUUGCGACUUCUGGAAUGCUUUCCUAAGCUCGCGACUAUUUAUCGCUACGAAAUUUAUUUGUGUGUUUUUUCCUUACUUUCUUAUGCUCAUGGCCUCUGCAUCUGUAUCAAUCAAAUGUAUUCGAGCUGGUAAACAACAGCGAGACCACUCUCUGCUUCACAAUCCUUUUGGUGGUUCUGAAAUUAUGUACAGUAGUAUGAUUAUGUUUUUUUUUCCUAUUUGUAAGUAGUAGAUGGUCUGACAACUAUCGUGUCCAUUAGACUUUUAUAACGAUGGGGAUUCAUUUUCCC